This 275-nucleotide ribosomal RNA is filed under the name uncultured bacterium. RNAcentral's name for it is "partial 16S ribosomal RNA". It matches the Rfam family "Bacterial small subunit ribosomal RNA", at positions 333 to 605 of the family's 1533-position model. The record is from RNAcentral.
GUACUCCUACGGGGCGCAGCAGUGAGGAAUAUUGGUCAAUGGGAGAGAUCCUGAACCAGCCAAGCCGCGUGAGGGAAGACGGCCCUAUGGGUUGUAAACCUCUUUUGUCGGAGAACAAAACCCGGGACGUGUCCCGGACUGCGUGUAUCCGAAGAAAAAGCAUCGGCUAACUCCGUGCCAGCAGCCGCGGUAAUACGGAGGACGCGAGCGUUAUCCGGAUUUAUUGGGUUUAAAGGGUGCGUAGGCGGUCCGUUAAGUCAGGGGUAUAAUUUCGG